UGGGCAACCUACCCUUGACUCUGGGAUAACUCCGGGAAACCGGAGCUAAUACCGGAUAUGAACACGAAGGACAUCCUUUGUGUUUGGAAAGUUUUUCGGUCAGGGAUGGGCCCGCGGCCUAUCAGCUUGUUGGUGGGGUAAUGGCCCACCAAGGCGACGACGGGUAGCCGGCCUGAGAGGGCGACCGGCCACACUGGGACUGAGACACGGCCCAGACUCCUACGGGAGGCA
Molecule: ribosomal RNA, 231 nt
Filed under: uncultured bacterium
Lineage: Bacteria
Description: partial 16S ribosomal RNA
Rfam family: Bacterial small subunit ribosomal RNA
Source: RNAcentral